CACGUAGGCGGCCUGUUAAGUGUGGAGUGAAAUCCCACGGCUCACCCGUGGAACUGCUUCGCAUACUGGCAAGCUCGAGGACGGUAGGGGGGAGCGGAACUCUUGGUGGAGCGGUGAAAUGCGUAGAUAUCAAGAGGAACACCGAUGGCGAAGGCAGCUCUCUGGUCCGUUUCUGACGCUGAGGUGCGAAAGCUAGGGUAGCGAACG
Molecule: ribosomal RNA, 207 nt
Filed under: uncultured bacterium
Lineage: Bacteria
Description: partial 16S ribosomal RNA
Rfam family: Bacterial small subunit ribosomal RNA
Source: RNAcentral